This 127-nucleotide small RNA is filed under the name Marmota monax (woodchuck). The record is from RNAcentral. Lineage: Eukaryota; Metazoa; Chordata; Mammalia; Rodentia; Sciuridae.
GCUGGGUGCAGUGUCGUAUGCCUAUAAUCCCAGCAACUCAGGAGGCUGAGGCAGGAGGAUUGCAAGUUUGAGGCCAGCCUUAUCAAGCAAGCAAGGCCUUUAGCAACUUAAUGAGAUACUGUCUCAA